AUUCAUUGCCCCGGUGGCCGAAUGGGUAAUGCGGCCACCUGGUAGCGCCUUGGCGUGGGGACCCAAGGCGCGUGGGUUCGAAACCCGCAGGGGACAACAUUACAUCCGGAGCCAAUUUCUCAGCUCCUAAAAUAAUGGGAUGUGAACCUGCCAAGUAGGUACCUUCGGGCGGACCUACUACUUGAUUUAGCUGAUUUUUCCUGGGCUAGGAACCUGUAUUGCAUGUACCAAAUCCUGUCUUUCAUUAAUUUUCCUAUGUUCCUGUUAUAUUCUUGGCGUCGUUCAACACUAAACAUUCCUCCUGUAUAACCAACUCUUGCCUGUAUUUAACAUCACACAAGGACUCGUCAUAAGCACUGCUUGCAUACGAGUAUAACGGAAGAAGAAUAAUAA
This 393-nucleotide small RNA is filed under the name Histoplasma capsulatum var. duboisii H88. RNAcentral describes it as "Histoplasma capsulatum H88 hypothetical RNA". Lineage: Eukaryota; Fungi; Ascomycota; Eurotiomycetes; Onygenales; Ajellomycetaceae. The record is from RNAcentral.